This 289-nucleotide ribosomal RNA is filed under the name uncultured bacterium. RNAcentral's name for it is "partial 16S ribosomal RNA". It matches the Rfam family "Bacterial small subunit ribosomal RNA", at positions 773 to 1060 of the family's 1533-position model. The record is from RNAcentral.
GUGGAUUAGAUACCCGGGUAGUCCACGCCGUAAACGAUGGAUACUUGUUGUUGGAGGUAUUGACCCCUUCAGUGACGAAGCUAACGCGUUAAGUAUCCCGCCUGGGGAGUACGGUCGCAAGAUUAAAACUCAAAGAAAUUGACGGGGGCCCGCACAAGCGGUGGAGCAUGUGGUUUAAUUCGAUGCAACGCGAAGAACCUUACCUAGGCUUGACAUGUACUGGAAGACUGGCAGAAAUGUCGUCGCCCGCAAGGGUCGGUACACAGGUGCUGCACGGCCGUCGUCAACU